This is an RNA transcript of Cynoglossus semilaevis (tongue sole), 6090 nucleotides long. It is a transcript of the gene named serine incorporator 2, like, with no coding region annotated. The transcript is spliced from 12 exons. Lineage: Eukaryota; Metazoa; Chordata; Actinopteri; Pleuronectiformes; Cynoglossidae. The record is from RefSeq and is a predicted model, not a curated record.
CGACAAUAUAUCCGGUUGUCUUGUGACUUCCGGUUACCAAUUUUAUCACAAUUGACCGAUACUAGAAGCGGAAGGCGUCAACAGAACUUUAACAAUUUCACCUUUUAAACGCCAAGAUGGGGGCCUGUCUUGCUUUGUGCUCUUUAGCCAGCUGUGCCUCCUGUCUGUGUGGCUCAGCACCAUGCCUCCUGUGCGGCUGCUGUCCCUCCUCCAAUAACUCUGUCAUUACCAGGCUGGUGUUCUCUUUGUUUUUGUUGAUGGGAACAGUGGUAUCUGUCAUCAUGAUCCUCCCUGGGAUGGAAACACAGCUCAGAAAAAUACCAGGAUUUUGCCAAGGAGGUGCCUCAUUUUAUGGCAUUGAAAAUGUGGCCAACUGUGACGUCCUUGUGGGCUACAAAUCUGUGUAUCGCAUGUGCUUCGCCAUGACCUGUUUCUUCUUUCUCUUCUGCAUCAUCAUGAUCCGUGUCCGCAGCAGCAAAGAUUGUCGUGCAGCUAUUCAAAAUGGGUUCUGGUUCUUUAAGUUUCUGAUCCUGGUUGGAAUAACAGUUGGAGCGUUUUUCAUCCCUGAUGGAACCUUCCAUAAUGUGUGGUUUUACUUUGGAAUGAUUGGAUCCUUUAUCUUCAUCAUCAUCCAACUUAUUCUGCUCAUCGACUUUGCUCAUUCCUGGAACAAGGGUUGGGUUGAAAGGGCUGAAGAAAAUGACAACAAAUGCUGGUAUGCAGGUCUCUUCACUUUUACCUUCCUCAACUAUGCCCUGGCUUUCACUGCUGUGGUGCUUUUCUACGUUUACUACACACAGCCUGAUGACUGUGCAGAACACAAAGUGUUCAUCAGCCUUAACCUGAUCUUCUGCAUCAUCGUCUCUGUUGUGUCAAUCCUACCAAAGAUACAGGAAGCUCAGCCAUUCUCUGGUUUGCUCCAGGCUUCACUUAUCUCCCUCUACACCAUGUAUGUGACUUGGUCUGCAAUGACCAACAACCCGAAUCGUAGGUGUAACCCCAGUCUGCUGAGUCUGGUGUCAAACACCAGCACCACUCAACCCCCUGCUGACAGCACUGGAGAUCACGUGCAGUGGUGGGACGCUCAGGGCAUCGUAGGUUUGAUCAUCUUCCUCUUCUGUACUCUCUACGCCAGUAUCCGCUCCUCAAGCAACAACCAGGUGAACAAGCUGAUGCAAACAGAGGAGGGUGGUGCAUCAGAUCGAGAAGGCAUGGUGGGGGGCGACGGUGUACACAGAGCUAUAGACAAUGAGGAGGACGCAGUCACCUACAGCUACUCAGUUUUCCACUUCCACCUGUGUCUGGCCUCUCUGUACAUCAUGAUGACACUCACCAACUGGUACCAACCCGACACCACCACUCAGACCAUGACGAGCACCAUGCCGGCCGUGUGGGUGAAGAUGUGCUCCAGCUGGCUGGGCCUCGGCCUUUACCUCUGGACCCUCAUUGCUCCGGUCAUCUUUCCUGACAGGGAGUUCAGCUGAACGCACUUGCACCUCAAGCUUUAAAUACCACCUUAACAACAAGCAUGUUGUUGUGGAGGCUUCACCUUCAGGUCAGAUGUCCAACCGGUGUCAGACCAGCUUCACAAGGCACAGGGUGCCGGGCUGGCACGGGGGACAUGUUGACUUUGGCUCCUGCAGUCACUCAGUCCAGUUGGCACAGUCUGUAACCAUUCACAACACACUUCCUUCUGUCGUCUUCCACCCUCCCACAACCAGCCUGCUUAUGACAAAACUCGGUGGCCGGACGGUGUCACACUGUAGACGUGAGACGUGAAUUCUUCUCCUCUUCGUAGGUGGUGGAGGCAAAAACAAUAAUAAAAGGCAGCAGGAAGCUGUAAAAGCAAAUAUGUUACUCUGAGAAAGAAAAGAAAAGUGGUUGAGAUAUUUCAGUGAGUUGAGCAAUCCAAACUUUUCAUGUUUCAGUUCUUAGAUGUAAGUUGUCAAAAGAGUUGACGUAGGUUUAGAAUAGUGUUGUUGUUUGUUUUUACAGGCAAAACAAAACAGUUACUUUUUAAUUAGGGUAAAUAUUUUAUUUGUAUAAAUCAUGUCUGUUACGUUGUAUAAUUACAACGUAACAGACACUGACUGAACAGAUGUUUGGCUCUCAAACCUGUUUUUAUUGUGACUAAUCCAAAUAAUGUCUUGUAAAAUCCUAAUAUAAGCAGCUGCUUUAAAUCAAGUUAUUACACAAGUUUGUUUUUUUUUUUGAAUAACUACUUGUUCCAUUUUUUCCCCCUUAACCCCGAAGACUGACUUUGACUUUCAGACCCAACACUUCUCCCCCUUGGUGCCAACACGAACUGAACAGCCUCUGGACCCAGGCAGCAGCAUCUGAGAGCAAAUUAGCCAUGCACCGUAAAUCCCACUGCUGCCCUCCUCCCCUGUCCCCUUAUCAUCAGGUAAACAGAUGUGAACUUGAUUUUCCUCCCGAGGUAGAUUUGAGACACACUCAGUCUUUGGUGGUUCGCUCCUGUGACAUAAAUCCCACCUUCAUUUCCUCUGUAAUCAUCAGACACAAUUUGUUGCCGUCAUAAGAAAUCAAAGACUGUCAUAUUGGGAUUGUGAAUCACUUGGUGUUGCUGCAUCGUUGGGUGUCGUGGCAGUUUUUAUGGAGGAUUGACCGAAAAACAAAAUGGAUUACCACUCAUGGUGUUCUCCCCGACCUUAAUCUUCACUUGUCUUUUCCCACGUUAGCUGGGAAAUGUCACCGUUAAGCUGCAGUUUACUUGUCAAGAAUAAGGUCAUUUUUUUUACACCGGUCAGCACAAUCAUUUAAGCUCUGUCACUGUUUUUAUCAUUGUCAUAAAUAUAAUACAUGGUCAUCUCUUUGACAGACCGACUGAGAACGCCUGUCUGAGGUGUAAUUGGGUUUUAAAAGAGGGAUCCAGGCCCAUUAAAUUAUGGGCUGCAUGCAGGGGAGCUAAUUGUGUUUAGGCCCUGCUGGUACACUACAUGUGCACUGAAAACAUUUACCAAACAUUAAGCCCCAAUUAGGCUUUUCGAGAUGGGAAACUUGUUGCUGGAUGAUGGGAACAGAAGAUGCUGAUGCCAGUUCCCUCUUAUAUGUAGUUUGUCUUGUUGGCAGUGAGACACCUGUCCACGUCUGAAGAACUGAUGAACGUCCUGUGGAAGUUUACUCAGUGUGACCGUCCCUGCCGUCCCAGUCUGGCUGCGGUGCAAUGCAGUCAACCUGUCAUGAGCACAAGGUGUAAAAGUCGAUGUGUGUGUGUGUGUGUGUGACUUUGUGAAACUCUCCCUCCUGCACGCAUGCUCCUCCUCAGUUCAGAGCAGCAGUUAAUGCAGUUAUAUAACAGAGAGUGCAGUCUGUGUCUGCUGUGAGCCAGGCCAGUCUGGUUACAUAAGCCUGUCAGAGUGGUAUUAUAACAGUACGGAGUGCUCACACCACAGCAUGUCCCCGCUCUCCUUCCACCUUCUCCGGCUCUGUCUCUCACUUCCUCCCACUGUCUUGUCUCUGCUCUCUUCUCUCACACUUUUCGUCCCUCUACCUCUUCCUUUUGUUGCGACGCUGUUUUCAACAACAGGAGGUGAAUUACCACGCUGAAUGAAGCUGCAGAGAUGAAAGUCUGAAAAUACGGCACACAAAAUAGCAGGAAUAACAACACGCUCCUCUGCUCGUCAGGAAGAAUGUCCCUGGUUCUCUGCACCUUGACACUGAUUACGUACUGUACUGGACUCUUGACAAACAACACAUCUCCAUGGUCUGAUAUCCAGACAGAGCAUCAUUCGAUCACCUCUGUAGAGAACAGCUACAGCUACGGCCUGGCUCUGACCUUUUGCAUCCAGUAUCUGACCUUUGUCACAACAACUCCUGAAGUCGCUCCACACCAAUGUCUCUAUGAAAAAUCCAUACAUAUCUUUGUUCAGUGCGUGGCCUUAGAUCCUGUUCAUAACUCCAUCAUUAAGUUAAAGGAAGUUGUUUUUACCGUGACCCAGAUCAUUUUUCAGGCCUUGUUUGGAAGCAGAGGUCAGAUCAGCACUUCCAGUAACCGAAUGAGACUCAUGUCAGGUCAGUAGUUGGUCACUGACCAUCUGUGGCAACGGAGCUGCGGAGCCAAACAAUAAUGGAGGACAGUGUGUGCAUGUGAGGACUGACCUGAGAGUCCACUAAACAAGUUAGACAUUCCUCUACAGAGGGGUGUCCAUACUUUUUGGCCUCCAUGCUACUUUAAAAAAAGAUUUAUUAUUAAAAAUAAAUAAAUAAAAUAAAAUAUUUGCUUAUAUGCUUUGAGUAAGUAUUAUAUUAUCUUCAACCUGUCACUGGAACCAGAGGUGGAGGUUAGCUAAACUGCUACAGCCUGGUGUGGGACUGGCCUUAAUGUUGUCAUUCACUCAGAGUAAACUUUACAUAUUUAUUGCUCUGUGUACUUUAAACACAGCUAUACUUGUAGGGUGUUUUUGUUUGUUUGUUUCAUUUUGUAACAUUUUAAAUAUAAAUGACAAACAAAAAACGUCUUUUAAGAUAACUAGAAAUUUUCCAGUGUGUCCAUUUGUCGUCCAACAUGUUGGUUUAGUGGUUACAUGUGUCCUGAGUGGGCCACAUGUCGUCACUUUUGGCCCUUUACCCUCACAUGACCCACUCUCCGGGCCUUUGUUAGGUUUUGUUGUCCGUCCUGCAGCACCAGGCCUCGGGUAGAAACUACAGUCGAAUGUUGCUCCCAUAGUUGGAAUCCCAAAAUUGAGCCACAUCAGUUCAAUUAGAAUGAACAGCGUCGAGCAGGAACUGUUGAUAUCAACCAAUCACCGUGUCCUCCAGCUGGUGAAUAUUCAUAGCGCGGGGUCGUCUCUUUUACCUCAUUGGUGGACGCUGAAGCAGGAGGGGCGGGGCUUCCGAGGCUAUGUGCUGCGGGUAGUGCGGAGCAGCUGAGUGUGUGCUUUUCCAGGGCGAGAUGUUGUUAUGUUGUGGCGAUCAGCUGAAUGUGCCACCGCUGUCCGCUCUCACACCACGGCAGGGAGACCCCCGACUCUGUCCGGCUCCUUCUCCACUGCACCGCUCUCCGCCCCGGACAGCAGCUCCAUCCACGACACCACGAUCCAGGAAAUGCCGACGUCUGGCCCUUCGGUUACCGGAUAAAUGACUGCAGCCGCCUGCACCGUAGCACGCUGGUAAAUGAUGAAGCUAAAUUAUUAUUGCUAUGAUUAUUAUUGUUAUGAGCUUUAAUGUCAUCGCUUGUUCACUGUCGCUGAUUCACAUGGAUGGCGAUCAUAGACGGAGGCUGUGUGUGAGGUGUGGAGCUGAAGGCAGGAUCUGAGUAGUGUCUGACGGUCAGAGUGUGUCCUCAACUUCAUCUGCCUCGUUAUGUGUUAUAAUGAUAACUGGAGAGGAGGUGGAGACGGCCACUGUGUACCGAUCAUAGCAGCAGCAGCAGCGGUAGUAGCAGUACCAGUCAGCUCAGAUGGGUGAAGGUAGAGGAGGAGGAGGAAGAGGAGACAUCGGUUGUGGUCCAGUGUGGAGCAGCUAAUGUUCCACGAGCUGACAGACUGUAUGCAUCACCAGUGAACCUCAGCGCAUCCUAUAGGUGUCAGCUGAGGACAGCACCAGUGCACCAGUGUAGAACAUGUUUACCUCUGUGACACCAUCAGGACCAGAAUAGCGUUACUUUGCAAUAUUGUUUAGAAAAUACCAAAAAAAAAAAAAGACAGUUCUUUGGAGCAGAAAUGGAAUCUUCUCCUUAAUCUGGACGUGUUUAUGAGGUCAUAGUAGUUUGGAGGUUGACACCUGUGUAUGUACCUCAGACCGGGGCAUUGUUUGCAGAUGCCACCAUCUUACCCUGGCAUGUUUCCACUGCAGAAAGCAGCUUUGGCUUUUUGAAGUGAAAGCUCAGCAGGCGCACGGUGAAGAACAAAGACCUUCCUGAUAUUUUUUGGGAAGCUAACUUUCCUUCUGUGAUGUAGUGUGAGCCGAGUGAGAUCAUCUAGUGUGUAGGAGGAAUUGGACGCAGAACAUCUGCAGCCCUGAGUGAAUCCCUGGAGAUGGACCAACAGUGACUGACAUGGUUUCACAUGUAAAUGAGUUUGUAGACAUUUCCAUAGAAGUGAAACCAAAAUUAAAACAUGGUUUUAAUGU